RNAcentral lists this ribosomal RNA (575 nucleotides) under Nyctibatrachus deccanensis (Deccan night frog). RNAcentral's name for it is "partial 16S ribosomal RNA". It matches the Rfam family "Bacterial large subunit ribosomal RNA", at positions 1808 to 2611 of the family's 2925-position model. The record is from RNAcentral. Lineage: Eukaryota; Metazoa; Chordata; Amphibia; Anura; Nyctibatrachidae.
UCAAAACAUCGCCUCUUGCACCAUAUAAGAGGUCAAGCCGGCCCAGUGACAUAAGUUUAACGGCCGCGGUAUCCUGACCGUGCGAAGGUAGCAUAAUCACUUGUUCUUUAAAUGAGGACUAGUAUCAACGGCGCCACGAGGGCCAUACUGUCUCCUUUCCCUAAUCAAUGAAACUAAUCUCCCCGUGAAGAAGCGGGGAUAAAAAUAUAAGACGAGAAGACCCCAUGGAGCUUUAAAUUCAAUAGGCAAUCUUACGCAAAUCAACCAAUACAGCCUUAGAUCCUGCCUAUUAAUUUUAGGUUGGGGUGACCGCGGAGCACAAUUAAACCUCCACAACGAACAAGACACUGACCUUAUCCAAGAGCCACAACUCCAAGAAUCAAAAAAUUGACGUAAAAUGACCCGACACUCGAUUAAUGAAACAAGUUACCCUGGGGAUAACAGCGCAAUCUACUUCAAGAGCCCAUAUCAACAAGUAGGCUUACGACCUCGAUGUUGGAUCAGGAUAUCCCAGUGGUGCAGCCGCUACUAAAGGUUCGUUUGUUCCACGAUUAAAAUCCUACGUGAUCUGAGUU